ACGACUGCUAUUUGGGUGAGGAUAAGCCAUGCGAGUUGAAUGGGAUACCUAAAUUUCCCAUGGCAAACUGCUCAGUAACACAUGAUCAACUUACCCUAUAGAGAAAAAUAACCUCGGGAAACUGAGGAUAAUAUUUCAUAGUUGAAUAGGCUUGGAAAAGUUUUUCAAUAAAAGGGAUAAAAAAAAUGGUUUUUAUCUGCUAUAGGAUAGGAUCGUGGACGAUUAUGGUUGUUGGUGAGGUAACGGCUCACCAAGCCGAUAAUCGAUAGGGGCCGUGAGAGCGGGAGCCCCGAGAUGGGUACUGAGACAACGACCCAGGCCUUACGAGGCGCAGCAGGCGCGGAACCUCCGCAAUACACGAAAGUGUGACGGGGUUACCCAAAGUGUUCAAUUCUGAACUGUGGUAGGUGAGUAAUGUUCCCUACUAGAAAGGAGAGGGCAAGGCCGGUGCCAGCCGCCGCGGUAAAACCAGCUCUUCAAGUGGUCGGGAUAAUUAUUGGGCUUAAAGUGUCCGUAGCCGGUUUAGUAAGUUCCUGGUAAAAUCGGGUAGCUUAACUAUCUGUAUGCUAGGAAUACUGCUAUACUAGAGGGCGGGAGAGGUCUGAGGUACUACAGGGGUAGGGGUGAAAUCUUAUAAUCCUUGUAGGACCACCAGUGGCGAAGGCGUCAGACUGGAACGCGCCUGACGGUGAGGGACGAAAGCCAGGGGAGCGAACCGGAUUAGAUACCCGGGUAGUCCUGGCCGUAAACGAUGCAUACUAGGUGAUGGCACGGCCAUGAGCCGUGUCAGUGCCGUAGGGAAACCGUUAAGUGUGCCGCCUGGGAAGUACGGUCGCAAGGCUAAAAC
RNAcentral lists this ribosomal RNA (847 nucleotides) under uncultured archaeon. Its description in RNAcentral is "bacterial SSU rRNA". It matches the Rfam family "Archaeal small subunit ribosomal RNA", at positions 23 to 855 of the family's 1478-position model. The record is from RNAcentral.